AGCGCGCCCUUCGGGGUGAGCGGCGGACGGGUUAGUAACGCGUGGGAAUAUGCCCGACACUAAGGAAUAGCCUCUGGAAACGGAGAGUAAUACCUUAUACGCCCUUCGGGGGAAAGAUUUAUCGGUGACGGAUUAGCCCGCGUUAGAUUAGAUAGUUGGUGGGGUAAUGGCCUACCAAGUCUACGAUCUAUAGCUGGUUUUAGAGGAUGAUCAGCAACACUGGGACUGAGACACGGCCCAGACUCCUACGGGAGGCAGCAGUGGGGAAUCUUGGACAAUGGGCGCAAGCCUGAUCCAGCCAUGCCGCGUGAGUGAUGAAGGCCUUAGGGUCGUAAAGCUCUUUCGCCAGGGAUGAUAAUGACAGUACCUGGUAAAGAAACCCCGGCUAACUCCGUGCCAGCAGCCGCGGUAAUACGGAGGGGGUUAGCGUUGUUCGGAAUUACUGGGCGUAAAGCGCGCGUAGGCGGAUUAGUCAGUUAGAGGUGAAAUCCCGGGGCUCAACCCCGGAACUGCCUUUAAUACUGCUAGUCUUGAGUUCGAGAGAGGUGAGUGGAAUUCCGAGUGUAGAGGUGAAAUUCGUAGAUAUUCGGAGGAACACCAGUGGCGAAGGCGGCUCACUGGCUC
This 624-nucleotide ribosomal RNA is filed under the name uncultured bacterium. RNAcentral's name for it is "bacterial SSU rRNA". It matches the Rfam family "Bacterial small subunit ribosomal RNA", at positions 65 to 735 of the family's 1533-position model. The record is from RNAcentral.